GGGGGCUGCAUUCCAAACUGGAUAUCUAGAGUGCAGGAGAGGAAAGCGGAAUUCCUAGUGUAGCGGUGAAAUGCGUAGAGAUUAGGAAGAACACCAGUGGCGAAGGCGGCUUUCUGGACUGUAACUGACGCUGAGGCACGAAAGCGUGGGUAGCAAACAGGAUUAGAUACCCUGGUAGUCCACGCCGUAAACGAUGGAUACUAGGUGUAGGGGGUAUCAACUCCCCCCUGUGCCGCAGUUAACACAAUAAGUAUCCCGCCUGGGGAGUACGGUCGCAAGAUUAAAACUCAAAGGAAUUGACGGGGGUCCGCACAAGCAGCGGAGCAUGUGGUUUAAUUCGAAGCAACGCGAAGAACCUUACCUGGACUUGACAUCCCUUGCAUAGCCUAGAGAUAGGUGAAGCCCUUCGGGGCAAGGAGACAGGUGGUGCAUGGUUGUCGUCAGCUCGUGUCGUGAGAUGUUAGGUUAAGUCCUGCAACGAGCGCAACCCUUGUUAUUAGUUGCUACCAUUAAGUUGAGCACUCUAAUGAGACUGCCUGGGUAACCAGGAGGAAGGUGGGGAUGACGUCAAAUCAUCAUGCCCCUUAUGUCCAGGGCUACACACGUGCUACAAUGGUAGGUACAAUAAGA
This 630-nucleotide ribosomal RNA is filed under the name Clostridium botulinum. RNAcentral describes it as "bacterial SSU rRNA". It matches the Rfam family "Bacterial small subunit ribosomal RNA", at positions 616 to 1247 of the family's 1533-position model. The record is from RNAcentral. Lineage: Bacteria; Bacillati; Bacillota; Clostridia; Eubacteriales; Clostridiaceae.